RNAcentral lists this long non-coding RNA (1806 nucleotides) under Nicotiana tabacum (common tobacco). RNAcentral describes it as "long non-coding RNA (NTAB_LNC011480)". The record is from RNAcentral. Lineage: Eukaryota; Viridiplantae; Streptophyta; Magnoliopsida; Solanales; Solanaceae.
GUAUUUUGAACAUGAACAACAUCAAUAAGUCACUCCAUCACAAAUCCCAUUCUAUCAACAUACCGUAAGACAAUAGCCAUUUGCUCCUUGCGGGACGUAUCAAAAGAUUCAUCAACUAGCAAUGCAAAGUAAUCACCAUUUAGUUCCUCAAUUAUAGCUUUAGUUGUUUCUAUCUUACAUGCAGUAACAAUGUCUUUCUGAAUCAUUGGAGAAGUCAUUUGAUCAUUUUGAGGAGCAUGUUCCAGUACAUAAUCACGAACAUUAUCACACACUUUUGCAUACCAUGAAAGAAUUUGAAGAAAAUUACCCCUACUAAGUGAAGACUUAGAUUCAUCAUGACCUCGAAAUGCUAAUCUUUGAGUUAUAAGAAGCCUUACUACAUUAACUGAAGCAGUUAAGCGGAUCAAAUACUCAUGUUUAAGUUGACUAGAUUGUCUCUCAAAUGAAGAUUGAAUAGACCGUUGUUGCCGCAAAUCAUGGAAUUUCUUUUUUGACUCAUUGUGAAUGCUACUCGACCCAUGUUUAUCAAAACUUUUCUUUUUAUGCCAACUCUUAUACCCUAUACUUGAAAAUACAUCACCUCCAUCUUGAUGAAUAUUAUUAUCUUUAAAUAGAUAACAAUACAAACAAUAAGCUGCAUCUUUACUUACAUUGUACUCCAACCAAUCAUGAUAUUCAUCAUCAAACCAUUUAGGAUUAAAUCGACACACUAAUUCAGAAAAAUUUGUUUUAGGAAAGUUAUGAAGCCGAGGUUGACAAGGACCUUGUCGAAGGUAUUCUCUUCUAAUAACAUCACGAUGAUUUGGAUGGAAGUUCAAGUUUUGAGUUCUUUCUCCCGGUCAAACUUUAAAGAAUCCAAAUCAAAUUCAUCAGAAGAUGGUACUUCUAAAUGGUUGAUAUUCUCUUCCUGGAUAGGUUGAGAAUGAGAUGCCAAAUUUGGUUUUGGUGCUUUGGUAAAAUAUCUCUUCACAGAAUUUUGAGACUGGAUUAUAAAGUAGGAAUGUAGUUAGAAAAAUUAAUAUAUAAUGUUGUAUUGGAUUAAGCUUAAAGAAGAAUUAGUUUAGUGUAGACUUUCUCAUAAUUCUUUAACAAAUGGCUAGGAUGUCCAGAUUGGGAAUUUGUUUUCCAAUGUGAUAGACAAUCUGAAUAUUGGGCAUUUGUUUUCCAAUGCAAUAAUAUUGAUGCACAGUAAAGAAAAGAACUCUAUACAUCAUGUGGCAUCAAUUCUAAUGCAAAUCGACAGCAGAUUGAAGAACUCUCUUAACACUUUGAACUAGAAAUUACACCUCCAUUAUAAUUUGCAGAAAGGCCACUUUACAGAUGCAGAUAAAAAAGAUUUUAGAGUCCGUCGGCACAUCCAAAAUGUUCCUAAUCCAUAGGUAAAUCAAUCAGUAUAUAAACUUUUUUGCAAAUCAUUUUUCAUUUUGUGAUGCCUAAGAUAUUUAUACUUGUUUGCUAAAGAAUUUAAGGCGUCCUAACGGACAAGCAGCAAGCACCACUAGUAUGAACAAUUAAAUCAUCACAAUUGACAACCAUAAACUCUCUUUCUUUUCGAUUUUAGGUUUUAUCUUUUUCAUCAUUAAGUCUAAUGAGAAGGUUCUAUGUUUAAUAUUUCUAAUGAGAAGGUUCUGUGUUAAUAUUUUCAACAAUAAAACAUUAAUAAACUUCUAAAAUUUACCUGGGAAUGGGAUGCCAAUACCAUGACAAAACUCAGAAGAAACGCCGGCUACAGGGGCAUCGAGGCAACGGAGAGCAGUGGCGGAGCAGUGCCAACGAGCGAGAGGGAUCGAAGAGAGAGGGGGGGCU